UUUAGAUCAGUGCUCAUAAUGUGUUCUGGGGAAGCUGUAAAACAGCUAAUGUGUUGGAGGGUCUCAGCGGCUUAGAAUGCCGCUAAAUUGGACAGAAAAGCAGUGAGGGGAGUAAGGGAGUUGGAAAGCAGCUGAAGGAAAAGUGGAGAAAGGAGGAGAAAGAAUGGCAGGGGGGAAGAGGAGAAAAGAAGAGAUGAGUGUUUCUUUUUUUAAAAUCCUCUGCUAAGAGAGCCACAAAAAGAGAGAAUUACACAGGAAGAAAAAUUGCCAUUGUCGCAGACAGAGACAGUGGUAAAUGGCGCGUCGUUUUGCCGUAAUUUACAAAUCGUGGAGUGGAAACAAAAUUAGAUUAAGUGGGUCCGUUGAAAUGGACCUGCUAAACAUCACUAUUAACUAGAAAGUGCAUUUUCUGAAGAAACUGCAGUGUGAAUGCUUGAAUCUGAAUGUAUGCACUGAAAUGAAUUAAUUGCUGAAUUUUGAGUUAAAAAUAUUGAAUGAGAUUAAAAAAAACAAAAAAAAAAAACGAAUUUAACCUGAAAACAAAGGUGCUGAACUGCUAAAAGCUGAAGGUUACACAGAAGAAGGAGUUGGAAAAAAACUGAAAAUGUUUUAAAUGUAAAUUAGAAAACCCUAAGAAAUGAGAAAAGAACAUUUAGAGUCAGAAAACAUCUGAAUGAAUAUUAAAAGGUCAUAUUCUUUGAAUCACUGAAUGACUCAAAUGUGAUCCCUCCACUUUGAUCCACACAGUUUAAAAAGUUUAAAUGCCUGAGCUUUGAAAGAUACGGUGUUGGAAAGAGAACAAUAAUGGCGACAAUUUGAGGGUAAAAUGAUGGCUGUAACACUGUGGACACAGCAGCAGUUGAAAGAGAAGUGCUUAAGAUGAAUCUUGGUACAGUGGCAGGCAGAGCUCGUUAAGCAGGCAGGUGUGAGCCUGGUUGCUAUAGUGACCGCACCCAAUGGCUCCAUACACACGCACACAGACAUGCACCUCACUUUUGCUGCUUAAAAUGAACAGAAAAGUCAGGCCGAAACAAAUCGCUCCCAAAUGAAAAGUAAAAGUCGUAUUGACAAAAUUCUUUCACCGUGAGCGACAGCAAUGUCUAGUCUACCUAAUUCUCAGUUUUCAUGCCUGUGGAGUUUAUUAUAUGGACGUGGUGACAGUGGAAAGACACCAUGCUCUUCUGAUUUUCAAACGAACCUUCUGAGCCAUUUUAACAUUAGAGUCUAUGGAAGAGUUGGAGGGAGGAGGCUGUGCAUUGGUGACAUUUAUGAAAGAACCAUAACACCUAGUACAAUAGUAAACACAUUGGAUGAAAGAGGACAGCCAUGGCUACGUUUUGAGGGUAAAAUCAUACCUGUAGAGCAAACGCUGUGGACACAGCAGCAGUUUUAAAAAAGAUUUUAAGAUUAAUUUUUUUGCUCCUCUCACUCUAGCAGUUGAGCUGCCUCACUCUAGCCCCAACAUUCCGUCCCAUACACACCCAUUAUAAACUCUGAAACGGGUGAAAAAACAUCAUGAAACUUAAACUGGAACUGAAGAAAAAGUAUAAUAGAUAUUGAAAAGAUAAAUACAAGUUGAAUAGUUGAAUGUCUUGUCUUCGUUUUAAAGUUUGAAUGGUGGCUCUAUGUCAAUGUAUGUGGAAGUAGUAAGAGUUUAAAAAUGAGUAAGUUGAAUGAGGAUUUGAAGGGUCUCCCCAUUGAAAUACAUUAUAAAUUUUUGUUGAAUAAAGUUGAAUAAAAUUAAAAAUAUAAAUGUUAAAAAUAUGAAAAAUAGAAGCAGUGUUGUCCAAAAGAAUAGGAAUCUAACGGUGUUUGAAUGGUUUUUCUAAGUUGAACGGUUUUGAAGUUAUAGGAUUACAAAAAACGUACGGAAUAGAUAAAUAUAAUAAUAAUAACUAGAAAGUGCAUUUUCUGAAGAAACUGCAGUGUGAAUGCUUGAAUCUGAAUGUAUGCACUGAAAUGAAUUAAUUGCUGAAUUUUGAGUUAAAAAUAUUGAAUGAGAUAAAAAAAAAACAAAAAAAAAAAACGAAUUUAACCUGAAAACAAAGGUGCUGAACUGCUAAAAGCUGAAGGUUACACAGAAGAAGAAGUUGGAAAAAAGCUGAAAAUGUUUUAAUUGUAAAUUAGAAAAACCUAAGAAAUGAGAAAAGAACAUUUAGAGUCAGAAAACAUCUGAAAGAAUAUUAAAAGGUUAUAUUCUUUGAAUCACUGAAUGACUAAAAUGUGAUCCCUCCACUUGGACCCACACAGUUUAAAAAGUUUACAUCUCUGAGCUUUGAAAGACAAGAUGUUGGAAAAAGAACAACGAUGGCGACGUUUUGAGGGUAAAAUGAUGGCUUUAACACUGUGGACACAGCAGCAGUUGAAAGAGAAGUGCUUAAGAUGAAUCUUGGCAGAGUGGCAGGCAGAGCUCGUUAAGCAGGCAGGUGUGAGCCUGGUUGCUAUAGUGACCGCACCCAAUGGCUCCAUACACACGUACACAGACAUGCACCUCACUUUUGCUGCUUAAAAUGAACAGAAAAGUCAGGCCGAAACAAAUCGUUCCCAUAUGAAAAGUACAAGUCGUAUUGACGAAAUUCUUUCACCGUGAGCGACAGCAGCUUCUAGUCUACUGAAUUCUCAGUUUUCAUGCCUGUGGAGUUUAUUAUAUGGACGUGGUGACAGUGUAAAAACACCAUGCUCUUCUGAUUUUCAAACCAACCUUCUGAGCCGUUUUAACAUUAGAGUCUAUGGAAGAGUUGGAGGGAGGAGGCUGUGCAUUGGUGACAUUUAUGAAAGAACCAUAACACCUAGGACAAUAGUAAACACAUUGGAUGAAAGAGGACAGCCAUGGCUACGUUUUGAGGGUAAAAUCAUACCUGUAGAGCAAACGCUGUGGACACAGCAGCAGUUUUAAAAAAGAUUUUAAGAUUAAUUUUUUUGCUCCUCUCACUCUAGCAGUUGAGCUGCCUCACUCUAGCCCCA
Astatotilapia calliptera (eastern happy) is the source of this 2964-nucleotide long non-coding RNA. NCBI's taxonomy places the organism in Eukaryota, Metazoa, Chordata, Actinopteri, Cichliformes, Cichlidae. The record is from Ensembl.